AGCCAGGCACCUCUUCCUCCUCAUGGCCUCACAGUCACUUCAGAGGCUGUCUGACCUCUCUCCCCAUUCCCUCCCUCCUUCCCUCUCCUCCUUUCUUUGCUUAAGCUGGUUUAAGUGGACCUUCUCCUGUAACCAAGGGAGUUAGGAAUGAAAACAAAUCCUAAAAGGGAGUCAUUGAGACAAAAUAUUUGUCAAAGAAUGAACAUAACUCUGAAGUCACUGAGUGGGCUGGGAGAGAGAGAGAGAGAGAGAGAGAGAGAGAGAGAGAGAGAGAGAGGAGGGAAGGGAGAGGAGAGGCACUAGGAUCUAGUGAAAACUUCAUGGCAAGCAUAUUUGAACUGGACUUGAAGAAGACAUAAGGAAAUUCACAGUAUCUUUCUUCUCCUGAAACUCCUAGGGUCUACUUGCUGUGCUGGGUACUGAACUCAGAGCCUGAGUCAUGCUAGGAAAGCACUCUAUUGGUGCCCUGGAUCUUUCAUUCCAGCUGUUAGCCUUCUGUCUAAGCUCCACCCCCACGGUUACCCGACAACUGCCAGCACUACACGGAGAGGAAGAGGCAGAGACACAGAAGAGAGAGAACAGCUGGGGUGUGACAUCCUCCGCUAAACGGUGUGUACUCCCACCUACAGAGCCUCUGUGGUCAAUGUCCAACUCAAGACUGAAGUUGGAGCAGAAGGGUUAGAGUUUGGAAAAAACCCACGCCAGUUCUGAGAAGCUACCUGAAGAAAACACAGCUGAGGAAUGAAGAAACCGAGGAAUCCAUUCACGGCAUGGAGCGGCACUUUCUUGGCUACCAGAAGGAAAGAGACUUACCUUUCCAAACAUUGAACCUCCUGGAGAAGAAGGAAGGAGCAAGAGACAGGCAAUGUCCUCUGCAGGCCUUCUGUGGAGCAAGCAUCAGGAGAGGCCUGUGAUGAGUGGCUGUGCCCACGAGCUGUGGCUCCUCCCGGAGGCUGGCGAGGAGCAGCUCUGCUGUUUUCUGUAAACCUCCUUACCAGCUGGGGCCACGCGUGGCAUCUGCAUCUCGAGGCCAAUCUAAACUUACAAAAUAAACUCCAUUGCAGAAGACCUCAAGAACUCACACCGCUGGCAUUCUGGAACGAGGAAGGCACAGCCCAAGGCCACUCUGUGGACUAAGUGGAACCGCAGCUCCGGUGGCCCACCCUCUCUGGGCUGCUGUGUGUAGCCGAACCGACUGUUGGGGAAAGCCUUGCAAAGCAAGCUGAAGUGUGGGGGCCAUGCCUCAUCUGUCUCCGUGCAUUUGCUGAGUGCCUGCCUCUUCCACUGCGUAAGGCAUGUGAAGAAGACAAGACAAGGUUCCUUCCUGGAGGGUUUCUGGGGUUUGGGAGAGUCAUAGCUGACACCCAAAGCAGUAGCACACGAAAGUGGGGGCAGCUUCAAGAGCGCACUCCAGGGCAUGCUCUGGUCCACAUUCUGUUGACCACAAGCAACUGAAAGGACAUGUUUGUUUCCCCUCACACCCUUGAGGAAAGGCGAGGCAGGAACUCAAACAGGUGGGAGCCCUCGACGGGGACUUGAAGCAGACAUUACGGAGGGACAGUGCGUACCUGCUUGUUCCUUCUGCCUUGCUUUGCUUGCAUUCCUAUACACAGACUCACAUGCCUAGGCACAGUGCUGCUACCCACAGGAGAUUAGUCCUUCCGAAUCAAUUACCAAUAAAGACAGUGCCCUCAGCCAUGCUCUCAGCUACUCUGAUGGAGGCAGCCCCUCGACUGAGGCUCCCUUUUCCCGGGGGACUCUAGUUGGUGUCAGGUUGACAGUGGAGACUAUGUCCCCAUUGCAUUGGUGGAGGGGGUAAUUUAAAGAAAUGCUGACCCUGGGAAGGGUGGCUAGAGAUGUGCAUGGGGCAGUAAGACUUCCAUGAGCUUCAGGACAGACUGGUCUACAUAGUCAGUUCCAGUCAGGUAAGAAUAAACAAGGCUACCUCUGUCAGAGGACAUCGAGGAGGAAGUAUGACCUUGCCAGCUGCCCGCUGAAAACAGAGCUGGACGACACAGCAAGCGACGAUUUCGCUGACUGACAUUGACACCUUCAUUUAGUAAUCAAACAGGAGAAGAGUCCUAAGCGUGCACCUCGCUUCCUCUCAGGUACACCGGGUUCCCAGUGCACACGACACUGCACAGGGCUUCACUGGGCUGUGGUGAUCUGACUGACCCUAGAAAGUCCCAAGGAAACAGGUCAAAGACCUCCAGGAAAUAGGAUGUAGACGCAGGACCAGUGCAAGGUCAGCUAAUUAGGGUGGGAUUACUCUGCUGCUGAUUUGAUUUGUCAGGGGCAAUGAGCGUCUCUCAGGAUUUGGGGAGCAGUAAUCACCUGCUUUCCCAGCUUUAGUUCUUCCAUCAGCCAGGAGCAGGCACCAUGCUAAAAACGAGUCUGAAAAUCUCCUCACAGAGUUGUCUUUGUGGGGCCAGUGCCAUGCUGCUGUGCCAGAGGGAUUAAUUGUUCUCAGGGUUUCUGUUUGCAAACCCUGCCCCCUUAGAUUCACAAACACCCCCAAGGUCGUGUUUAGUGUGUAUCAAUCUGUUGUAACGCAACUCCAGAGUGAUCAUUUAAGAGUGAGCUCCAGGAGCUAAUUGAGAAGGGGGUCACCAGCCUACUGCACCCCAAAAUGAACCAGAGACAUCUCCAAGUAAGAAAAAGGCUGUCAUAGUUCCAGAAGCCUGGAAGGGAACUGCCUCAAAAGCUAACUUCAUUUUAAUCUGAAGGAGAAUCCAACCAGGAUACAGAGCCCUGCUCUAUCUACUGUUGAACCGCAAGAGCCCUUAGGCUCAGAACCAACCGGAAAAGUCGAUAGUAAACAGAGUCCGUGAUCUAACUAGUUAUACCGACAGAAUUUACUGUUAUUUUAGCACCUGCUACCAGGACAAACCCAUGACCUUGUGAACUGACCUGUGAAAUGACAUUGAUUUAAUACAGGGCAUAAGAAUGUAAAAAUUAACCGAGGACAGAAAUUCCACCUUUCCUUUGCUUGAACAGAGUGCUUCACGACUGACCACACACUUGGAAAAAAAAUAUAUAUAUAUAUUUAAAAUGUAUCAUUUGACAGCUUCCUACGUGUAUACAAUGUAUCUUAACUGUAUCUACUUCCGACUUCCCCCUCCCUCAACACCUCCUAACACAUCCCCCUCCCUCCUUCAUAACCUCCUCUUUUUAUUUUUUUAUAACCGGCUGAGUCCAAUUAGUGCCGCCCACAUGCACACGGGCGUGAGGCCACCCACCCAACCAUGAACAGCCUAUCAGCGGCUGCACUUCUGAAGAAAAAUGACUCCCCUCUCCCCGGCAGCUGUCAGCUGCCAGUGGCUCCUCAGCCAAGGGUGGGGUGUCAUGAACCCUCCCCAGUCUAUGCUGGAAUGUUGACCGACUUGAGCCCCUGAAGGGCUUGCAUGCUGGUAACUAUAUACACAGCCAAGUCCAGAAAAUGCACAGCACUCCUCCUCCAGCUACUAUCUUUUCCCCUUCUUCCAGAUGUUUCCCAAGUGUGGGAGAGGGUGGUGACAUCGAAGUCUGGCGUGCUCCUCACUUACGCUCAGUGCCGUGACCAGUAGAAGUCGGUAUUAACUGCUGUCCGUUACAGAAAGGAGCUUCUCUGACCAAGCCAGUAAAUUGACUUGUGGGUUACUGGCAGGGGAGAUAAGAAGUCAAGGCCUCAAGAUGUUGACUGACACUGCUGUUAGGCAUCUGACCUCUAACAGAGCCAUGGUGGAACUGGAAUCCCUUAGCACUUGAACUCUGACCUGGCAGACCCGUCACUGCGUUCAGCUUGAGUCGUAGAUUCCGAGUCUCUCCUAAGAACCUUCAAACCAGCAGAGCAACACCCCGGCAUGGUUGCCGUCUCCCGUCUCUGUCCUACAAUGUUUCCUUCGCAGCCCAGUGUCAGGAGACCCAAAGCAACAAUGACCACCAAACCCUCAACACAACCAUCUUCAAAGGGCACUGGUGAAGUUCCAUGUCUUAGAAGUCUUUGCAGCUGCCAAGGUCACCACCGGCUCAGACGACUUCAUCCAGCAGGUGAUUUGGCCGGAACCGGUUCUGCUCUGCCCAUAAGCUUAUUGACCUAUUUGAUCCAUGGCCCAAUUACAGCUCCGUGCCUACCAAUCACUCCAGAUGAAAAGUGUCAUCAAGCCUACGGGUGUAGAACUAGUCUCUCCUGAGUUUACUUAGCUUGGCUACCUCAGGAAAGGGUGGAGUGGUGUGUGUGUGUGUGUGUGUGUGUGUGUGUGUGUGUGUGUGUGUGUGUGAGAAUGUGUGUGUGUGUAGUGUGUGUGUGUGAGUGUGUGUGAGUGUGUGUGAGUAUGUGUGUGUGAGUGUGUGUAUGAGUAUGUGUGUGAGUGUGUGUGAAUGUGUGUGAGUGUGUGUGAGUGAGUGUGUGUGAGUGUGUGUAUGAGUGUGUGAGUGAGUGUGUGUGAGUGUGUGAGUGUGUGUGUAGUGUGUGUGAGUGUGUGUAUGUGUGUAUGAGUGUGUGUGUGAAUGUGUGUGUGAGUGUGUGUGUGAAUGUGUGUGAGUGUGUGUGAGUGUGUGAGUGAGUGUGUGUGUGAGUGUGUGUGUAUGAGUGUGUGUAUGAGUGUGUGAGUGUGUGUGAGUAUGUGUGUGAGUGAGUGUGUGUGUGAGUGUGUGUGAGUGUGUGUGAGUAUGUGUGUAUGAGUGUGUGUGAGUGUGAGUGUGUGAGUGUGUGUGAGUGUGUGUGAGUGUGUGUGAGUGUAUGUGAGUGAGUGUGAGUGUGUGUGUGAGUAUGUGUGUGUGUGAGUGUGUGUGUGAGUGAGUUGUGUGAGUGUGUGUAUGUGUGUGAGUGAGUGUGUGUGUGAGUGUGUGUGUGAGUGUGUGUGAGUGAGUGUGUGUGAGUAUGUGUGUGUGAGUGAGUGUGUGUGUGAGUGUGUGUGUGUGAGUGAGUAUGUGUGUGAGUGAGUGUGUGUGUGUGUGUGUGUGAGUGAGCUGUGUGGGACUGGAGGAAUUGUACCUGAUCACGUCUGUAUGUGUGUGUGUGUGUAACAUGAGCAUGUUUCUAUCACGGCGCUCUGUGGUUCUAUGACUGGAAUCUGGUCCGAGAGGGCAGGCACAUGUACGUGUGUGUAUAGUAUGGGCACUUCACUUGUGCAACUGAAGGGAGAAAAGGAAGGCAGGGAAAGGUAAAGGACAGACAGCAGACAUUCUACAUCUAGAGUCAGUAAUAAAGGCAGCUACAAGUGACAAGGCCAAAGACAGAGAACAGGGGGCAAGACGACGGGACACAAGAAGGAAGCCUGGUCAGGAGCAAUGCCUGCUCUGUUCCAGGUGUGGAAUGGCAGUAGAGGCAGAAGCUUGCAGGCAAACAAUGCCUCCUUUGUCACUUUCCUGCCUCUUUGCCUGAAGAGUCUGAGACAGCCUCCACAGUGGUUCUGUCUGUUUCUAUAGCCUCCUUGCCAUUCCCAGGGUUUUAUUUCUCCUAACAACUAGCGACAGCCAACAAAGGAAGCCACCUUGUCCUCUGCCGCAACAAGGUUAACAGUGGCUGUCCCCGGUCUGCCCACCACCACUAGAUCACAUGCAGGUAGGGUCAGGGCCUUGCAGAGGAGCUGGGAUGGUGGGGCUGAAGAGAACGGGGGUCUGAGAACAAAUGGCAGCCAGGCCUCACACUUAGUGCUGAGCCGUGACAGAGGAGAGGUGACAAUUUCACAAGACACUGCCUCCAGCAAGAAGACUGGGGGGAAGGACUUGGGAUUGCUGUGCCUCUUAGAAAGAGUUUCCCUGUUGGGUUUGGGUCUCCUUGUAGCAGAUGGGGUUACACUAGGCUAGGUCUCCGGUUCCCAAAGUCCUUGAGAGAGUCUAAAGGGGUCCUUUUAACACCUGUGGGCGAGGCUGGGUGAGGCAGGUCAUAAUCUCCCCAACCUGGCCUGCCUGGGUUUGAAGAUUGUACGUCUUUCCCUCUGAGACCCCCAGUGCUAGCGCCUUAUGACUCACCAUAAAGUGACUGUUAGAGAUGAUUUGUUGAGGCCACGGGACAGUUGACAAUGAACCUCAGUAGAGGAGUCUCCUUGAUUCCCAUAAUUUAGGGUCCUCACCGGCUGGCCCCUAGCACAGAUAUUGUACCUUUAGAUGCUGACUCCUGGAGAUUGAGAAACUCCAGUCACCGUGGACUGGCCAAACUGUGGCAGGCCUGGUAUUCAGUAAUGAAGAUGAAGAGAAGUUUAUACAGCAGGAGUCUGUGUUGCUCUGCCACUGGCGGGUCCUGAAAGAGCAAAGGGAAACCCAGACACCAUGGUCAAGUUCUUCAGUAUGGCAGUGGCAACGCCUACCUUCUUUCUGGCUUCAUGCUGUAUGGUACUGCUUCUCAGAUGGCCUUGUCCUUUCCUAACAUACCACCUACCUUGUCAACAAAGAGCUACCGUCUGCCAGAUCUUCAAGCAUAAGUCAUCCCUAAACUCCUGAGCUAUUUCUAAUGUCACAGCAGGCCUGCCACUGCGUAGCUCAUGAGGACUGUCAAUCAAGCAAACAACAAUGACAACACCAGCAACAAAACCUGGACAGUCAUCAGUGGAGUUCUCUUCGAGCCGUUCUCCUUGCUGUAGGAGCUACAGGGCAGAGGAGGAGUUCCUACCUCUGGGAUGAACUCCCAGGGUAGGGCUUGGGUGAAGGUGUUCACCACCAAGCCACCCCCACCACCUACCAAAUGACCACAGGCUUGAAAAUCAGGUAGAUAAAUCUGUCAAAUCAAAACAAAAAUUACCAAAAAAAAACAAAAACAAAAACAAAAACAAAAACAAAAAGAAAAAAGCUUUAUCCUUUUCCAACAGAUGGUGAAGCAAAAACAGCUGCACACGGCAGAGCUGUGACACAUCCAAGAAGCUGCUCAAUGUUUAACUGUCUACCUGGUGCUGCUUCUUACCGGAGGGAGUGCCGUGGCGUGGGGUUUUACAGGCAGCCAGCUCACACAUGCAGUUACUUUUCUCCGAUUUUUUUUGAAGAAGCGAAAUGUGUGUGUUUUCAUGUCUAACCAUCAAGUUGCCUUUUGGUAAAAAUCAUGGUUUACCUUAAAU
Long non-coding RNA from Rattus norvegicus (Norway rat), 7031 nucleotides. RefSeq lists it as uncharacterized. Lineage: Eukaryota; Metazoa; Chordata; Mammalia; Rodentia; Muridae. The record is from RefSeq and is a predicted model, not a curated record.